CUCCGGUGGAUAGAGAUGGGCACGCGCAAGAUUAGAUAGUUGGCGGGGUAACGGCCCACCAAGUCAAUGAUCUUUAGGGGGCCUGAGAGGGUGAUCCCCCACACUGGUACUGAGACACGGACCAGACUCCUACGGGAGGCAGCAGUGAGGAAUAUUGGACAAUGGGUGAGAGCCUGAUCCAGCCAUCCCGCGUGAAGGACGACGGCCCUAUGGGUUGUAAACUUCUUUUGUAUAGGGAUAAACCUACYCUCGUGAGGGUAGCUGAAGGUACUAUACGAAUAAGCACCGGCUAACUCCGUGCCAGCAGCCGCGGUAAUACGGAGGGUGCAAGCGUUAUCCGGAUUUAUUGGGUUUAAAGGGUCCGUAGGCGGACUCGUAAGUCAGUGGUGAAAUCUCAUAGCUUAACUAUGAAACUGCCAUUGAUACUGCGGGUCUUGAGUAAGGUAGAGGUAGCUGGAAUAAGUAGUGUAGCGGUGAAAUGCAUAGAUAUUACUUAGAACACCAAUUGCGAAGGCAGGUUACCAUGUCUUAACUGACGCUGAUGGACGAAAGCGUGGGGAGCGAACAGGAUUAGAUACCCUGGUAGUCCACGCCGUAAACGAUGCUAACUCGUUUUUGGGUUUUCGGAUUCAGAGACUAAGCGAAAGUGAUAAGUUAGCCACCUGGGGAGUACGUUCGCAAGAAUGAAACUCAAAGGAAUUGACGGGGGCCCGCACAAGCGGUGGAUUAUGUGGUUUAAUUCGAUGAUACGCGAGGAACCUUACCAAGGCUUAAAUGGGAAAUGACAGGUUUAGAAAUAGACUUUUCUUCGGACAAUUUUCAAGGUGCUGCAUGGUUGUCGUCAGCUCGUGCCGUGAGGUGUUAGGUUAAGUCCUGCAACGAGCGCAACCCCUGUCACUAGUUGCCAUCAUUCAGUUGGGGACUCUAGUGAGACUGCCUACGCAAGUAGAGAGGAAGGUGGGGAUGACGUCAAAUCAUCACGGCCCUUACGCCUUGGGCCACACACGUAAUACAAUGGCCAGUACAGAGGGCAGCUACCAGGUGACUGGAUGCGAAUCUCGAAAGCUGGUCUCAGUUCGGAUUGGAGUCUGCAACUCGACUCUAUGAAGCUGGAAUCGCUAGUAAUCGCGCAUCAGCCAUGGCGCGGUGAAUACGUUCCCGGGCCUUGUACACACCGCCCGUCAAGCCAUGGAAGUCUGGGGUACCUGAAGUCGGUGACCGUAAUAGGCUGCCUAGGG
RNAcentral lists this ribosomal RNA (1238 nucleotides) under uncultured Chryseobacterium sp. RNAcentral's name for it is "bacterial SSU rRNA". It matches the Rfam family "Bacterial small subunit ribosomal RNA", at positions 210 to 1462 of the family's 1533-position model. The record is from RNAcentral. Lineage: Bacteria; Pseudomonadati; Bacteroidota; Flavobacteriia; Flavobacteriales; Weeksellaceae.